GGUAAAAUGGCUGAGUAAGCAUUAGACUGUAAAUCUAAAGACAGAGGUU
Molecule: transfer RNA, 49 nt
Filed under: Panthera spelaea (Eurasian cave lion)
Lineage: Eukaryota; Metazoa; Chordata; Mammalia; Carnivora; Felidae
Description: partial tRNA-Tyr
Rfam family: tRNA
About the family: Transfer RNA (tRNA) molecules are approximately 80 nucleotides in length.
Source: RNAcentral